ACAACAACAAAACACUGGGCCAGCAUCAAGAGAUGACAUAGCUCCCCAAAUUAUGACAGACUAUGCAGACAUCAAAAUCAAUCUGGUUGUCUCUGUUGUAGGGUUGGAUUAACAAAAAGAAGGGAACAGUUGCAGCCCAUUUCCUGCAUGGGCCUGUGUGUGCUGGCUCCUAAAGUACUGACUCCAGCUGAAGUCAACACCUUGUGAUUCAUGAACUUCCUCACCCUCACGUUGCACUGGAGGCCGCCUACUUCCUGUGCGACUGGAGCUGUAGUACUUUGUCCUGAUUUUCCUGACUCAACACAACGGAGUCUGUUUAAAAAAAAAAAAAUAGAGUUGAAUUCAAAUUUGUAGACUGCUUGAAAAAUUGUGAAAAUGAACCAGCUUUUUUUCCCCCCCAAAGCGGAUUAUAAUACCUCGAAGACAAUCAAGGACGCUCCAUCCACCCCCUCCUGACCUCCACUCCUCUCUUUUUUUCUGCCCCAAAGGCUUCCCCUCCCCGAGUCCCUCUGAGUGUGGAAUCUCCCUAAAUUCAACAGCUGCUCACAGGCAAAACAAACAGUAAAGCCGAAAAGCAGAGCACCGGGGUGUGCCGAUAAUUGUUAAAGAGGUGAUUACAUCAGUGACAGUAUAUCAGUAACCGCCCAACAGGAAGAAGCAACGCAAUGUUGCUUUGAAAGAGUUGUAACGUUUAUUCAUUUUAACCCAAUUAAUUCUGGUUCACGGGAAAUUCAAACAAAUAUUGUGCAAUUAUGUUAUUAGUAAAAGCAGAUGACUGGUUUCUAUAGGUAUAACAGGAGUUGAGAUAAUUGAGACAAUUCUUUGUCUGUUUCUUAUAUUUUUGUAAAAAAAACAACAACAAAAAAAAAACACACCUAAAAGUUUCUAAUCAGUGAAUUUAAGUAAAAAACAAAACACUUUGUCACACUAGUACAUGUAAAAUAUACUACUCCAUGCUUGGUUGUGUUUUUAGUCGUGAAUCACCCAAUGAGGUACAUAAAGUAGAAGGCGUAGGUUUCUUUAUAUCCAACAGGGGGCGCUGUUGCGUUCUCUUUUAAAUUAAGUAUUCCCUUUUUUUUACGGACUCAUUAUUUGAACAAAAAACUCCACAUAAAUAGCAUUCAUUUAUUCAUUCCUUUAAUUCAAGCAUUCGCUACUGAAAACCAGCCAAACACACGAAGCAUAAACUUGUAAUAUAAACCCCAAAAUCUUGAUAUCAGACUAUUGAUGAAGGCUUGCUGCAUAACAUUUCACACAGAUUCCCCCACCCCCCCCAAAAAAUAUUCACGUUCAUGCAUGCGGAUUAAAAAGUUUUAUUUACUUACUCAAAAAUCUGAGACAUUUCUUUAUUUCAGACUUGGAAAAAUACAACACUGUUUAAAGACACUGAAAUUAUUCCACUUAGAGAAACACUUUUUAAAAAAGAUUACCUUAAAGCACCUUUGGUAAUUGCAGGAGUGUUUGCAAUGGACAAAAAUCCCUGUAGUCUCUUUUUUAGACAUUUACAGUGCUUUGCAAAACUAUUCAUACCCUUGACACCUUUUCACGUUUUCUUCUAUUUUUCACAUUUUAUAUCCAACACAGAGCAGCACAUACAUGUGAGAAGGGGGUAAAGAUAUGUGAUUUUUAAAUAUUUUCUAUCAAAUAAAAAUCUGAAAGGCGUGUUGUCUUUAACCCUUUUUAAUCUGGCACCCCUAAAUGAAAUCCAUGACCACCAGUUGCCUUGAAAACUCAACUGAUUUGUAAAAAGAGGUUACAUGUGCGUCAUUUUAUUUAUAAGUGCAGUCGUUGCGUGAAGGACUCGGCACCAUGAAGACCAAGGAACAACAACUCCUAAACAUCCAGCCUGAGCUACAAGGGAAUGGGUUAGAUCAAUAGAUAUUUGUGUGUUAGAAUGGCCCAAUCAAAGCCCAGACCUACGUUCACUGUGCAGUAAUUAUUUUGUAAAA
Xiphophorus couchianus (Monterrey platyfish) is the source of this 1949-nucleotide long non-coding RNA. RefSeq lists it as uncharacterized. Lineage: Eukaryota; Metazoa; Chordata; Actinopteri; Cyprinodontiformes; Poeciliidae. The transcript has 2 exons. The record is from RefSeq and is a predicted model, not a curated record.